RNAcentral lists this ribosomal RNA (1045 nucleotides) under Sperchon mutilus. RNAcentral's name for it is "partial large subunit ribosomal RNA". It matches the Rfam family "Eukaryotic large subunit ribosomal RNA", at positions 386 to 1241 of the family's 3401-position model. The record is from RNAcentral. Lineage: Eukaryota; Metazoa; Arthropoda; Arachnida; Trombidiformes; Sperchontidae.
CCGCUUGCAAGUAAACAGAUAGACCCACGAAGUCCUGUUAAGUGAGAGAUUCAUAUUGUUCGAAAGGCGAGAACGUUGAUGAUGUCCACUUGUGGAUAAGUCAGCGUUCGCUGUCAAUUGAAUGAUGCAUUUCUCUCGCUUACGCUGGAGCUCUGACAGCCUCUUUGACUUUAACUGCUUAGGGCAGUCGUUGCUUGUGGUUGGAGACUUCGGUCUCUUUUCACUUGUGACGAUGAGUAAGUUAAGUCGAAUGGAGUUGUUGAAUUGCUUACUUUUGUAAGUGUUUUCAGGUUGUCGGUACGACUCUUUUGUCAAGCGUGCUGCGUAGAGAAUUUUCGUCUCUCGUAGAUGAAAACCUCUGCGUACGUAUUCUUAAGUGCAGAAGGGAAGUGCCAACGAUGAUCCAGAGUAAGUAGGUCGGUCAUCUAUCUGACCCGUCUUGAAACACGGACCAAGGAGCCCAACAACUGCGCGAGUCGCUCGGUCUUGCAUAGGCCCGAGAGGCGAAGUAAACACAAUGGUAUGAUCCUGGAUAGCUUGCUACCGGGCGCAAUACCAACCUGCUUAUCUUGCCUUUUGACAGGAAAGCGGAGUUUGAGCGUAAUUGUUGGUACCCGAAAGAUGGUGAACUAUACUUGGGCAAGACGAAGCCAGAGGAAACUCUGGUGGAGGUCUGUAGCGAUUCUGACGUGCAAAUCGAUCGUCAGACCUGAGUAUAGGGGCGAAAGACUAAUCGAACCAUCUAGUAGCUGGUUCCUUCCGAAGUUUCCCUCAGGAUAGCUGGUACUAACAUAACUCUGUAGCACCCGGUAAAGCGAAUGAUUAGAGGUCUUGGGAUCGAAACGAUCUCAACCUAUUCUCAAACUUUAAAUGGGUGCGAGGAUUGACUUUUUUGGAGUAAAGUCUUUCUUUCGUAAGAGUAGUACCAAGUGGGCCAUUUUUGGUAAGCAGAACUGGCGCUGUGGGAUGAACCAAACGUUGAGUUAAAGCACCAAAUGCCGACGCUCAUGAGACCCCAUGAAAGGUGUUGGUUGCUAUAGACAGC